Molecule: ribosomal RNA, 392 nt
Filed under: Chrysolepidomonas dendrolepidota
Lineage: Eukaryota; Chrysophyceae; Chromulinales; Chrysolepidomonadaceae
Description: partial small subunit ribosomal RNA
Rfam family: Eukaryotic small subunit ribosomal RNA
Source: RNAcentral
GCUUGUCUCAAAGAUUAAGCCAUGCAUGUCUAAGUAUAAACAAAUCUAUACGUGAAACUGCGAAUGGCUCAUUAUAUCAGUUAUAGUUUAUUUGAUAGUCCCCACUACUUGGAUAACCGUAGUAAUUCUAGAGCUAAUACAUGCAUCAAACCCCGACUCACGAAGGGGUGUAUUUAUUAGAUGGAAACCAAUGCGGGGCAACCCGGUAUAUGGUGAUUCAUAAUAACUUUCGGAUCGAUCUUCGGAUCGAUGCAUCAUUCAAGUUUCUGCCCUAUCAGCUUUGGAUGGUAGGGUAUUGGCCUACCAUGGCUUUAACGGGUAACGGAGAAUUAGGGUUCGAUUCCGGAGAGGGAGCCUGAGAAAUGGCUACCACAUCCAAGGAAGGCAGCAGG